This is a long non-coding RNA of Zalophus californianus (California sea lion), 1736 nucleotides long. RefSeq lists it as uncharacterized. NCBI's taxonomy places the organism in Eukaryota, Metazoa, Chordata, Mammalia, Carnivora, Otariidae. The record is from RefSeq and is a predicted model, not a curated record. The transcript is spliced from 2 exons.
UCUGCCAAGUGAAAUGAGCAAGUCACAGAAAGACAAAUACCCUAUGCUUCUCCUAGUACGGGCUAUGUAAAGUAGUCAAAUUUAUAGAAACAGAAAGAACUGUGGGAUCCAGUGGGGGCAGGGAAGAGGAAACACAGAGCUGUGGGUACAGAUCUUCAGUCACAAAAUGAAUGCCAGAGAGGCGUUGUAUGGCAGGGAGAAGAGGUAGAGCCCUGCUGUAGGAUACACUGGUGCAUGGCUAACGGUAAUAGUAAAUGUAACGUUAUUGUUUCUAACCUACUAUACUUUUUAACAGAUUUCUUUAAGAGAAAAAUUGGGGUGAAGAAGCUGGGGCCUUUGAAACGUUCUUGCCUUCAACGAGGAAGUUCCGGGUGUGACAAAUACAAAGAGUUGUCUGGUCCGUUUUUGUAAAUCAUCACUGAAUAUAGGGUUUAUUCCAGCAAUAUAAUGAAACAGUACCUAUUCAGUGAAAUUCACAGCAUCAACAACUAAAGGAGGAAAGGCAUGUGAUUUUGUCGAAAGAUACGUUGAAAUAUAUAUGUAUGUACACUCUACCUGAAAAUAGCCUGAAAAUCAAACUGUCCCAAAUGACUAAUUUCCUCUCCUACACAAUCCCCGGGACCUAGAAGAAACGGAGCCCCACUGGCGCUUGGGAGAACAGCAAGGUUCCUCUCAACACACAGUUACUCGUUUACAGAAUAGCCGCAGCACCCAGAGCCAAAUGUGAACUUGAGCCUCUCGGUGAGCCGGCACGGGACACAAGCCUUGUCUUGUGAGAAAUAGAACUGAACUUCCCCAGAACCGCUUCAACCUCAGCGGGCCGCUGGGACGCGUACAACACGCUGAUUGGCCAGGAGCCCUUCCUGCCAGUGAGCAGGCGAUGACGCAGCAUGACUCCCUGCAGAGAGUAUAAAAGGCCGGCCGGCCAGGCGUGAUCGUCCUUUCUGCGAGCGGAACAGGCAAGUGUACACACCUUUCUUCUAUAAUACUUUAACUAUGUUCAGUAUCAAACACCGGGUCGUGGAAUUAGUGGUGGAACUUCUAGCUAACUUUGUCCUGCAUAAGAUCAGAUUGUAUGUACCUGAAUUAUUCAAGACAUUACUACAGAACCAGUGGAAGUUCACAGAUUGUUUAAAAACUAUGUGCCAUUUUCUAUUGAAGAAGACCCUUAUCUAUGUCCUGAGCAAUCUUGCUUCCAGAAUACACAAACCGAUGGCCGGAGAAGUCUUCCUAAAUAUGUCAUAUUAUUGUCGACACAAGAAGAGGUUUUCUGAACCCACAGUUGAGUUUGUGGUUUAGCUACCCUUAAACACCUAAGCGAUCUGGGUUCCUUGGGUGAAUACUUAGCACCGGGAGGACAGCAAAUUCUAAAAAUUGGUCCUAUGCACGUCCAACUCUGGACCCAGCCGGUGCCUACGACAAACGGCCACAUUCUGACGUGACAUAGUUCACAGACGGAAGCUUAUUUGCUGAUCUCCUCCUCGCGACAUCGUCUUUAUAUCUAGUAAAGCCAGUUAUUUAUGCCGCACCCAUCGUCUUUCUUUCAGAAGAACUUCCUCAAGCCUGCGGAGUUCCCCUUCGUCCACUGUCUCUCCUCCCCCGCUCAGAGCACAUUUCCGGUUCCUCUUGAAUCUGUGCCUCCCAGAUUUCAAAAAAAAAAAAAAGGUUUUGUUUUGCUUUGCAGCCUCAGUUCUUUCUUUUUUGACACAAAGGAGCAAAUAAACUUCGUAUCAACA